This 734-nucleotide ribosomal RNA is filed under the name uncultured bacterium. RNAcentral's name for it is "SSU rRNA". It matches the Rfam family "Bacterial small subunit ribosomal RNA", at positions 84 to 853 of the family's 1533-position model. The record is from RNAcentral.
UUUCGGGCAUAGUGGCGCACGGGUGCGUAACGCGUGGGAAUCUGCCCCUUGGUUCGGAAUAACUCAGAGAAAUUUGAGCUAAUACCGGAUGACGACGUAAGUCCAAAGAUUUAUCGCCGAGGGAUGAGCCCGCGUAGGAUUAGCUAGUUGGUGGGGUAAAGGCCUACCAAGGCGACGAUCCUUAGCUGGUCUGAGAGGAUGAUCAGCCACACUGGGACUGAGACACGGCCCAGACUCCUACGGGAGGCAGCAGUGGGGAAUAUUGGACAAUGGGCGAAAGCCUGAUCCAGCAAUGCCGCGUGAGUGAUGAAGGCCUUAGGGUUGUAAAGCUCUUUUACCCGGGAUGAUAAUGACAGUACCGGGAGAAUAAGCUCCGGCUAACUCCGUGCCAGCAGCCGCGGUAAUACGGAGGGAGCUAGCGUUGUUCGGAAUUACUGGGCGUAAAGCGCACGUAGGCGGCUUUGUAAGUUAGAGGUGAAAGCCUGGAGCUCAACUCCAGAACUGCCUUUGAUACUGCAUGGCUUGAAUCCAAGAGAGGUGAGUGGAAUUCCGAGUGUAGAGGUGAAAUUCGUAGAUAUUCGGAAGAACACCAGUGGCGAAGGCGGCUCACUGGCUUGGUAUUGACGCUGAGGUGCGAAAGCGUGGGGGGCAAACAGGAUUAGAUACCCUGGUAGUCCACGCCGUAAACGAUGAUAACUAGCUGUCGGGGCGCUUGGUGUUUCGGUGGCGCAGCU